This is a long non-coding RNA of Zeugodacus cucurbitae (melon fly), 1131 nucleotides long. RefSeq lists it as uncharacterized. Lineage: Eukaryota; Metazoa; Arthropoda; Insecta; Diptera; Tephritidae. The transcript has 3 exons. The record is from RefSeq and is a predicted model, not a curated record.
CACAUCAUAUGGAUUGCCAUCAACCCUUUUCCUUUUAAUUAAUUGUUUCAGUUGCAUUUUGUCAAGAAAUUCGAAAAUUUUGUGAAAAGUAUGAAAAUGCCAACGAAAAUGCCCGACGCCGUGAUUGAUAUCAACUAAUUGCGAUUGAAGGUGUGGUGUGGUGGUGGUGGAAGUCGCUGACAAGCAGCUGCCGUUUGCCGCUUGCCGCUCGCUGGUUUAUCGUUUGGCGUAUAUCGCAAACUUUUUUGAGUGAUCCCAAUCAAAAUUAAACGUUUCAGCAUGUAACAAUUAAUAGCCGGCGUUUCUACGUUGUUUCCCUGCAAAAAGCACUCGAGUUUUCUAAAAAUAUUCCGCAAAAUUUCUGUCGAAGACUUUUUAGAGCCGUAUCGACUGAUAAUAUUACCGUUAAUACUGAAAUGUUGAUUGAUGUAAAUAUAAUAAGCUUCCUUUGUUAAGCAGCAAUUAUAUUUAGUGUUAGUCGAGAUUACUUACCACGCCAAGCAGCAAAUUGUUAAAUGGAGUCUAUAUUUUAUUAUAUUAAGUAAUUAAUCUUGAGAGCUCUUGCAUUUAUGAUAUAGAACCAUUAUUUGUUGAAUGUGUAUUAAUGAUGUCAGCAAGUCAGAAAAAUGGUCACAUUCUGCUACAUAACAACCCAUUUAAACUAAUCAAAAAGUAAUUUUGAACUUCUCAGGACGAUAAGAUAUUCGUAGCCGGGAAGACCACGGUUUCAUUCUGCCAAGAAAAGAGCUUGUGUUAUUUUUAUGCUAUAAAUUCAACAAUUGCAGAACUUAAGUUAAUUCAACUACAUUAUAAAAAUACUCGUAUUUACUUCUACUUUUCGUUUUUAUAAUAAAAUUUAGUUAUUUUUUACAGUGUUGUAUUUUAAAACAUAACCUUAAAAUCAACUACACAACGAUCAAUGAAUUAAGGAAUAUAAUACAAAUGUCUCAUUUAAAUAUAUAAGUAAAUAUGUAUAUAUAUGUAUGUAUAUAUAACGGUAACAAUAAAAAUAAUUACAUAAAAAUAUAAAAAUAUAUUUUUUUUAUCAUAUAAACACAAGCAACGACAUAGGUACGCAGUAAAUAAGCUAAAUAUAUUUUCAUUGCUAUGUAUACAUUAUGCUUAUAUAUG